CCUACGGGGGGCUGCAGUGGGGAAUAUUGGACAAUGGGGGGAACCCUGAUCCAGCCAUGCCGCGUGUGUGAAGAAGGCCCUCGGGUUGUAAAGCACUUUCAGUGAGGAAGAACGCCUGGUGGUUAAUACCCAUCAGGAAAGACAUCACUCACAGAAGAAGCACCGGCUAACUCCGUGCCAGCAGCCGCGGUAAUACGGAGGGUGCGAGCGUUAAUCGGAAUUACUGGGCGUAAAGCGCGCGUAGGUGGCUUGAUAAGCCGGUUGUGAAAGCCCCGGGCUCAACCUGGGAACGGCAUCCGGAACUGUCAAGCUAGAGUGCAGGAGAGGAAGGUAGAAUUCCCGGUGUAGCGGUGAAAUGCGUAGAGAUCGGGAGGAAUACCAGUGGCGAAGGCGGCCUUCUGGACUGACACUGACACUGAGGUGCGAAAGCGUGGGUAGCGAACAGGAUUAGAUACCCGUGUAGUC
RNAcentral lists this ribosomal RNA (465 nucleotides) under Vreelandella stevensii. RNAcentral describes it as "partial 16S ribosomal RNA". It matches the Rfam family "Bacterial small subunit ribosomal RNA", at positions 338 to 795 of the family's 1533-position model. Lineage: Bacteria; Pseudomonadati; Pseudomonadota; Gammaproteobacteria; Oceanospirillales; Halomonadaceae. The record is from RNAcentral.